AAUAUAUAGCUUUAUAAAGUUUUUUAUUUACAUUAAAAAGGAAAUUGUUAAAUCAAUUUAUAUUGAA
This 67-nucleotide transfer RNA is filed under the name Scymninae sp. 4 ACP-2013. RNAcentral describes it as "tRNA-Val". The record is from RNAcentral. Lineage: Eukaryota; Metazoa; Arthropoda; Insecta; Coleoptera; Coccinellidae.